UUCAGGUUAUCACACCAUAUGAAGUGAAAGCGCCGUUGGGACUAUUCGCGGUGCAUAGAACUUCCAUGGCAGCACGGGCGAUUCCAAGGCCCACUUGAGCUCCUCCUGCUGAUGUCAGACGGUGAGAUUUCUCAACCUGCACUCUAUUAGCCAUGUAAGAUUGCUUUGCUAGAGAUCAUUUAUUUCUUGCCAUCCAUUCGUUAUAAACUUGAUUCUUCGUCACGAAUGGAUCCUUAAUUAUGUGUGUCAUGUUGUUUCCCUGAAAACGGACGAUCGAGUCACAUUUCUUAUUUUCUGUUGUGAGUUGAGGAGCUUGCGGUUUUAAAAGUAUGUCUCAGUUGUAAGAAUGUGGAAAUGAUGGACAGGUAGCAAUUUUUUUAUAUUUUCUGUUUAUAUCCAAUAUUAAGUAGUUAUUAACUCCAUGGCACAGGACUGUACUUUUUGUAGAUGUAGUAGCUUUUGAUUUCCAUUUAGUUAUGGCUUUAUCUCCGCUUUUACAUACUGAUUAGGAUUUCCAUUUAGUCAGGGUCACAAAGUCUUUGUGCCAGGAUUCUUCCCUUUGUAAAUGUGAAAGCGGCUUGUACAAUCUAUUCACAGACUUGCUCUGCUGCUUUGUAGCCCAACUGAUUAUGUACUCUUGAUCGUCCUCAUGGCAU
This 656-nucleotide long non-coding RNA is filed under the name Triticum aestivum (bread wheat). RNAcentral describes it as "long non-coding RNA (TAES_LNC006458)". The record is from RNAcentral. Lineage: Eukaryota; Viridiplantae; Streptophyta; Magnoliopsida; Poales; Poaceae.